GCCUUCGUAGUGUAAUGGUCAACACACUCAACGUGUAAUCGAGAGGUCCAAAGUUCGAUUCCCGGCAAAGGUA
This 73-nucleotide transfer RNA is filed under the name Stegodyphus mimosarum. It matches the Rfam family "tRNA". From Rfam's summary of the family: Transfer RNA (tRNA) molecules are approximately 80 nucleotides in length. Their secondary structure includes four short double-helical elements and three loops (D, anti-codon, and T loops). Lineage: Eukaryota; Metazoa; Arthropoda; Arachnida; Araneae; Eresidae. The record is from Rfam by way of RNAcentral.